GGUAAGAUUUACCCACGAUCUGACAGCACUGCUGGGACAUUCAUCAUUUCCUGUUAUUAGUUGGAAGAUUUGAAAAGAUAGUUUGUGAAUGCAAUAGCUGGUUUGUUUUACAUCAUAGUAGUGUAUUAUACGCGUACUUUAUAUUUCUUGUACUAAUCGAUCAACAGUUUGGUAAAUUAUAUAAACUAAACUAAAGUUAGUAAAAAAGUAUAUAAUUAUAUGUGAAGUGAUAACAACGUAUCUAAGAAACGGAUUAAAGUACACCAUUUUGUUACAACUAUACAAAUGCAGAAAUAUUUUUUCUUGUUUUUUCUUUCUUUUUUUUUUUUUUUUUUAAUUCUUGGCAUAUAUUAUCACAAUCUUUGCAUUAUAAAAUACUUUUUCUUUUUUCGUAACGUAUUAUUCUCAGGAUAAUAAUUAUGUAUAUAUACAAUAUUUAUUUGGAUUAUAUACAUUUGUAUGGAAUAGUGUGUAAUAUAUGAGAGCAAUUGAUGAAGAAGAAGAAGAAGAAGAAGAAGAAGAAGAA
This is a long non-coding RNA of Polistes dominula (European paper wasp), 526 nucleotides long. Lineage: Eukaryota; Metazoa; Arthropoda; Insecta; Hymenoptera; Vespidae. The record is from RefSeq and is a predicted model, not a curated record.